GCAACUCGACUACAUGAAGCUGGAAUCGCUAGUAAUCGCAGAUCAGAAUGCUGCGGUGAAUACGUUCCCGGGUCUUGUACACACCGCCCGUCACACCAUGGGAGUCGGAAAUGCCCGAAGCCGGUGACCAAACCAAUAAGGAAGGAGCCGUCGAAGGCAGGUCUGAUAACUGGGGUGAAGUCGUAACAAGGUACC
Molecule: ribosomal RNA, 195 nt
Filed under: uncultured bacterium
Lineage: Bacteria
Description: partial 16S ribosomal RNA
Rfam family: Bacterial small subunit ribosomal RNA
Source: RNAcentral